CUCGCACAAGCUCAGGAGAUCCACUCCUGAACUUACUGAGGUAAACUCUGCACAAUGGUAUCGCUUUUUUUUUACAACGCCAGACACAUAAGUGGAUUUUUCUGGCAAUGAAGAAAAUGCAUCUGUUGAGAUGAACUGCUCAGGAAAGGAUCCUCUCAUCAGUAUUGCUGUAGCACUGUGGGUCGCUGUCAUGGCAUUUGUGUUUUUUAUCUACUUGUACUGGAGACACAUUCAUCUCAAACCAAGUUUCCAUGUUUCAUGCCGAAAUAAUUUAGAGAUGCAAGAAACCAAUUUACAUUCCGGAAAAACUACUGAUCUUACAGUCGAAAAAG
Molecule: long non-coding RNA, 332 nt
Organism: Ctenopharyngodon idella (grass carp)
Lineage: Eukaryota; Metazoa; Chordata; Actinopteri; Cypriniformes; Xenocyprididae
Exons: 3
Source: RefSeq, a predicted model, not a curated record